GACGAACGCUGGCGGCGUGCUUAAUACAUGCAAGUCGAGCGAGGCCCAUCCAGUGGCAACACUGGGGAAGGCCGAGCGGCGAACGGGUGAGUAACACGUGAGCAACCUGCCCCGAAGUCUGGAAUAACAUCGGGAAACCGGUGCUAAUACCGGAUUGCCCCACCUGACCGCAUGAUCGGGUGAGGAAAGAUUUAUCGCUUCGGGAGGGGCUCGCGGCCUAUCAGCUAGUGGCGGGGUAACGGCCCACCAAGGCGUCGACGGGUAGCUGGUCUGAGAGGACGACCAGCCACACUGGGACGGAGACACGGCCCAGACUCCUACGGGAGGCAGCAGUAGGGAAUCUUGCGCAAUGGGCGAAAGCCUGACGCAGCAACGCCGCGUGGGGGA
RNAcentral lists this ribosomal RNA (387 nucleotides) under uncultured bacterium. RNAcentral's name for it is "bacterial SSU rRNA". It matches the Rfam family "Bacterial small subunit ribosomal RNA", at positions 28 to 408 of the family's 1533-position model. The record is from RNAcentral.